UACGUAGGUGGCAAGCGUUGUCCGGAUUUACUGGGUGUAAAGGGCGUGUAGCCGGGCUGACAAGUCAGAUGUGAAAUCCGGGGGCUCAACCCCCGAACUGCAUUUGAAACUGUUGGUCUUGAGUAUCGGAGAGGCAGGCGGAAUUCCCGGUGUAGCGGUGGAAUGCGUAGAUAUUAGGAGGAACACCAGUGGCGAAGGCGGCUUACUGGACUGUAACUGACGUUGAGGCUCGAAAGCGUGGGGAGCAAACAGG
This 253-nucleotide ribosomal RNA is filed under the name uncultured bacterium. Its description in RNAcentral is "partial 16S ribosomal RNA". It matches the Rfam family "Bacterial small subunit ribosomal RNA", at positions 524 to 776 of the family's 1533-position model. The record is from RNAcentral.